Molecule: ribosomal RNA, 433 nt
Filed under: uncultured bacterium
Lineage: Bacteria
Description: partial 16S ribosomal RNA
Rfam family: Bacterial small subunit ribosomal RNA
Source: RNAcentral
AACGAACGCUGGCGGCAUGCCUAACACAUGCAAGUCGAACGAGACCUUCGGGUAUAGUGGCGCACGGGUGCGUAACGCGUGGGAACCUGCCCUUAGGUUCGGAAUAACUCCCCGAAAGGGGUGCUAAUACCGGAUAAUGUCUUCGGACCAAAGAUUUAUCGCCUUUGGUUGGGCCCGCGUUGGAUUAGCUAGUUGGUAGGGUAAAAGCCUACCAAGGCGACGAUCCAUAGCUGGUCUGAGAUGAUGAUCAGCCACACUGGGACUGAGACACGGCCCAGACUCCUACGGGAGGCAGCAGUGGGGAAUAUUGGACAAUGGGCGAAAGCCUGAUCCAGCAAUGCCGCGUGAGUGAUGAAGGCCUUAGGGUUGUAAAGCUCUUUUACCCGGGAUGAUAAUGACAGUACCGGGAGAAUAAGCUCCGGCUAACUCCGUG